UUCAUAUUGGGUAAGUUGUAUAUAAACAGUCACAAGCUCUGCCCGUCAGUAUUCAAGGAGCCGGCAACAUGUGGAAGUGUGCAGUACUACUGUCUGUCUGCUGCCUGGGCUUGGCUGCAGCUCAGGGACUGUCUGACCACGUUGAUACACAGCCUUCGCAUCGUCCACCAUGUGGCAAAAACGAAUAUUUCGAAAACUGUACCUUUGAAUGUCCACCGGAGAAGACUUGUGCAAAUCGUUUACUCCAUGUGUAUUGUGCUGAUGUUGAAAUGCCUUGUAUCCCCCAAUGUGUAUGUAAAGCGGGUUACUACAGAAACGUUGCAGGUGGUGAAUGCAUCCCAGAAGCUGAAUGUGAUUGUGGACCAAAUGAAACCUUUAACGAAUGUGUAGAUGAAUGCCCCCCAGAAAAGACCUGUGACACUCGUCAAGUAUAUGUCGGUUGUUUAGCAAUCGUAAGACCCUGUUACCCGAAAUGUGUAUGUAAAGAGGGUUACUACAGGAAGACUGAAGGUGGGGAGUGUAUAUCAGACGAAGAAUGUGGACCGGCUUGUGGUGAAAACGAGGAGUAUACGGAGUGCGCAAACCCUUGUAUAGACGACAGCUGCGCUGCAAUGGGGAGUCUGAAACCCAACUGUACUGAGCCCUGUGUACCGGGAUGUGUUUGCAAAGAAGGGUUCUUUAGACUGUACGAGUACUGGCCGUGUUUCCCUAGAUGUUAUUGUCAUGAGAUGCGAGAUGCACCCGAAUGUAGAAGCUAGUUAAAUUAAGCCUGUCAGUAUUGGAGAUAUUUAUUAGUUAUAUUGUUUGUUAGUUCUAAUGAUGUUAAGACAAAUAAAUAUAGAACUGUUAAUUAGUUUGAAAUAUUAAAUGACUUCCUACUGGUUUUCUUGUUUUAUUUACCAAUUACUUUGCCAUUACAUAAAAGUCUAUAUCUUGACUACAUAAAUAGGAUCAUCUAAAUCUCUACAACUAAUAACUUAACAAACAUCAACAAGAAGCAAAUCAAAACAACUUGACUUUUUGCAAAAAUGACGUCAUAUUAUAAAUCACGUUGAGCUGUACUUCAACUUGCUCUAGUGUGCUAGAUCAAGUUUUAUAUUGAUAAAUAUAAACAGACACAAGUCGGGAACGUCAAUACUGGAGGAGCCGGCAACAUGUGGAGGUGUGCAGUACUGCUGUCUGUCUGUUGUGUUGGACUAGCUGUGACUAGGGGAUUAUUGGACGACGUUCAUUCAGAUUCAGAUCAAAAUAUGGACUGUGGGCUAAACGAAUACUUUGAACGAUGCUUUAACGAUUGUGCUCCUGAACAGACCUGUGAUACUCGUAAAAUAGAACAAUUGUGUCCAGCUGUUGUGAGGCCUUGUGUGUCAAAAUGUAUAUGUAAAGAGGGUUACUAUAGAAAGAAUACUGGUGGUGAAUGUAUACCAGAAGAAGAGUGUGGACCAGCUUGUCGUGAAGGCGAAGUAUAUAAGGAGUGCAGAGACCCUUGUGUGAACGACAGCUGCGAAGCAAUGGGCAGUCUGAAACCGAACUGCACCAGCCCUGUGCCUUGUGAACCGGGAUGUGUGUGCGCAGAAGGAUCCUAUAGGCUCUAUGAAUAUCUUCCAUGUGUUCCAAAAUGCUAUUGUCAUAAUUUAAAAGAUUCAUCUGAAUGUAAAAAUUAGAUUAAAUGUAUGUACUCGUA
Spodoptera frugiperda (fall armyworm) is the source of this 1684-nucleotide RNA transcript. It is a transcript of the gene named inducible metalloproteinase inhibitor protein, with no coding region annotated. Lineage: Eukaryota; Metazoa; Arthropoda; Insecta; Lepidoptera; Noctuidae. The record is from RefSeq and is a predicted model, not a curated record. The transcript is spliced from 6 exons.